This 517-nucleotide ribosomal RNA is filed under the name uncultured archaeon. RNAcentral's name for it is "bacterial SSU rRNA". It matches the Rfam family "Archaeal small subunit ribosomal RNA", at positions 93 to 593 of the family's 1478-position model. The record is from RNAcentral.
GUAACACGUAGUCAACCUGCCCUAGAGACAUGGACAACCCCGGGAAACUGGGAUUAAUCCGUGAUAGGUCACCUCAUCUGGAAGGAGAGAUGGCUUAAAGGGGUGCGAGAGCUUCUUUCUUGCAUUCGCUCCAGGAUGGGACUGCGGCCGAUCAGGCUGUUGGCGGUGUAAUGGACCACCAAACCUGUAACCGGUACGGGCCUUGAGAGAGGGGGCCCGGAGAUGGACACUGAGAGAAGGGUCCAGGUCCUACGGGGCGCAGCAGGCGCGAAACCUUCGCAAUGCGCGAAAGCGUGACGAGGUUAAUCCGAGUGGUCCCCGCUGAGGGGAUCUUUUGUUGGCUGUAAAAAGGCCGAUGAAUAAGGGGAGGGCAAGUCUGGUGUCAGCCGCCGCGGUAAUACCAGCUCCUCGAGUGGUCGGGGCGAUUAUUGGGCUUAAAGCAUCCGUAGCCGGUUCUGUAGGUCCUCUGUCAAAUCCAACGGCUUAACCGUUGGCCCGCAGAGGAUACCGCAGGACU